Molecule: unclassified non-coding RNA, 254 nt
Filed under: uncultured Planctomycetia bacterium
Lineage: Bacteria; Pseudomonadati; Planctomycetota; Planctomycetia
Description: contains 16S-23S intergenic spacer region
Rfam family: Bacterial small subunit ribosomal RNA
Source: RNAcentral
GACGAACCGUGCGAACGUUAUUCGGAAUCACUGGGCUUAAAGAGCACGUAGGCGGCAUCGUAAGUUGGAGGUGAAAUCCCGACGGCUCAACCGCGGAACUGCCCCCAAUACUGCGAUGCUCGAGGGAGACAGGGGCACAUGGAACUUCCAGUGGAGCGGUGAAAUGUGUUGAGAUUGGAAGGAACGCCGGUGGCGAAGGCGAUGUGCUGGAUCUCUUCUGACGCUGAGGUGCGAAAGCUAGGGGAGCGAACGGG